Molecule: ribosomal RNA, 1974 nt
Filed under: Triticum aestivum (bread wheat)
Lineage: Eukaryota; Viridiplantae; Streptophyta; Magnoliopsida; Poales; Poaceae
Description: partial small subunit ribosomal RNA
Source: RNAcentral
AUGAGGAAGAAGAAGACACCACCGAUAAGUAAUUUUUUCAAGCCAAUUGCUUCAAACUCUACAGUUGAAAAUGCAAAUGCAACCGUGGAGGUCGAUGUCACAGAGCAACCCACUGAUAACAGUGUCCCCAAUCUCAAUUCAGUUGAUAUGCCACCCCCCAAGCAAAAUAUUGAGGCAUCUGUAGAAGUAGAAGUUCUAGAACAACAAAGAAUCGGAAGCACACCAUUCGAGCGAGACCCUGGAAAGCGCAAACAGAUUUGGGAACUCCCUCUUGAUAAGCAAAAUGAAGCACGCCAAUUCUAUAUUUCUGAAGGCCGAUACAUGCCAUACAUGAGAGAGUAUCCAUAUAAUGAUGAUCCACCAAAACAUCGUCGGCGUUUCCAGUACAGUUGGUUCAAGGAUUUUGAAUGGCUUGAGUUUUCACCUUACACAAAGCGUGCAUAUUGCUUCCAUUGUUUCCUCUUCUCAAGAAAGCCGAUUGGGAAGUGCGGCUCAGAAACAUUUACUGUUUUGGGCUUUGAUAGGUGGAAGAAGGUGAAUAAUGGGAAAGAGUGUGCUUUUUUAACUCAUAUGGGUAAAGAUGCUGGUUCAGCCCAUAACUUCUCAGCUCGUUGUUAUGAUAAUUUCAAAAACAGCAUGACUCAUAUUGAUAAGGUGUAUGGGAAAGCAACCGCAAAAACGAUUUUAGAUGCAAGGCUAAGGCUCAAAGUUACAAUUGAUUCCAUCCGGUGGUUAACAUUCCAGGCUUGUGCUUUUAGAGGGCAUGAUGAAUCUCCGGGAUCCAUUAACCGGGGUAAUUUCCUAGAACUGGUAAAACUUUUGGCUUCUUAUAACAAGGAGGUGAAAGAUGUUGUCUUGGAAAAUGCUCCUGAAAACGCAAAGUACACAUCUCAUCAGGUUCAAGAGGAAAUUCUUGCUAUACUUUCUCGAAAGGUGCAAAGAACAAUUAGAGAAGAAAUUGGUGAUAGCAAAUUUUGUAUAAUGGUUGACGAAGCUCGCGAUGAAUCCAAGAAAGAGCAAAUGGCGUUGGUCCUCCGGUUUCCUGACACUGAAGGGUUCAUACAAGAGCGUUUUGUUGAUGUCAUUCAUGUGAAUGACACUCUUGCAUUGACUCUCAAGGAGACAAUUUGCACUGUUCUAGCAGAUAACAAUUUAAAUGUGGAAGAUAUCAGAGGUCAGGCCUAUGACGGGGCCAAUAAUAUGCGAGGGGAGUGGAACAGAUUGAAGGCUUUAAUUCUGAAGGCGUGCCCUUAUGCAUAUUACAUUCAUUGUAUGGCGCAUCAGCUUCAAUUGGCCCUUGUUGCAGCAUCACGAGAGAUACUCUCUAACACUAAGGUGCUCCUCGCUGAUCUAAGAGAGGAAGGAUGGGAACCUCUCAUAGAGGAGGUUAAGACCUUUUGUGUGAAGCAUGAAGUUGAGAUCCCCGAUAUGAGUCGCAAGUAUGUUGAUGUGACUAAGUCUCGGAAUAAACAUAAUAACAUCACGGUGCUUCACCACUACAAAGCAGAUGUGUUCAAUGUGGCGAUAGAUCAACAACUGGUUGAGCUAAAUGACCGUUUUAGCGUUCAGACAACAGAGCUAAUGACACUCUGUGCAUCCUUGGAUCCAAGGCAUGACUCGUUUGACAUAUCAAAGAUUUGCAUGCUUGUGGACAAAUUCUAUCCAGCGGAUUUUUCUAGUCAAGAGCAGGCUCGCCUGGAGUCACAACUUCCACACUAUCAGUUAGAUGUUUGCAACCAUCCAGAGCUGAAUUCUUCGUCAUCACUGGCUGAUUUGACCGUUGCAUUGCAUAAAACAGGUAAAGCCUCUGUGUAUCCAAUGGUUGAUAGAUUAUUGCGCUUGGUCAUCACUCUCCCGGUGUCAACUGCAACUGCGGAGAGAGCUUUUUCAGCAUUAUCAAGACACGUCUCCGAAGUAAAAUGGGUGACGAUUUUGUUCGACCUUACAUGGUUGUAUACAUUGGGAAGGAAAUAG